This 301-nucleotide ribosomal RNA is filed under the name uncultured bacterium. Its description in RNAcentral is "partial 16S ribosomal RNA". It matches the Rfam family "Bacterial small subunit ribosomal RNA", at positions 509 to 807 of the family's 1533-position model. The record is from RNAcentral.
CAGUAGCCGCGGUAAUACGAAGGGUGCAAGCGUUACCCGGAAUUACUGGGCGUAAAGCGUGCGUAGGUGGUGGUUUAAGUCCGUUGUGAAAGCCCUGGGCUCAACCUGGGAAUUGCAGUGGAUACUGGGUCACUAGAGUGUGGUAGAGGAUAGUGGAAUUUCCGGUGUAGCAGUGAAAUGCGUAGAGAUCGGAAGGAACAUCUGUGGCGAAGGCGACUAUCUGGGCCAACACUGACACUGAGGCACGAAAGCGUGGGGAGCAAACAGGAUUAGAUACCCCAGUAGUCCCUGUCUCUUAUAC